UCAUAAGGUGCAUAUGUGGUUGACGU
RNAcentral lists this small RNA (26 nucleotides) under Bombyx mori (domestic silkworm). RNAcentral describes it as "ovarian small RNA-25876". The record is from RNAcentral. Lineage: Eukaryota; Metazoa; Arthropoda; Insecta; Lepidoptera; Bombycidae.